CCUACGGGAGGCUGCAGUGGGGAAUAUUGGGCCAUGGAGGCAACUCUGACCCAGCAACGCCGCGUGAAUGAUGAAGGUCUUCGGAUUGUAAAGUUCUGUGAUGGGGGAUGAACACAAUGACGGUACCCCAAUAGCAAGCCACGGCUAACAACGUGCCAGCAGCCGCGGUAAUACGUAGGUGGCAAGCGUUAUCCGGAAUGACUUGGCGUAAAGGGUGCGUAGGUGGUUUAGUAAGUUGGCGGUGUAAGUCCGGGGCUCAACCUCGGCGCUACCGCCAAAACUAUUAGACUAGAGUGCAGGGGGGGUAAGUGGAAUUCCUGGUGGAGCGGUGGAAUGCGUAGAUAUAAGGAGGAACAUCAGGGGCGAAGGCGACUUACGGGACUGUAACUGACACUGAGGCACGAAAGCGUGGGGAGCAAACAGGAUUAGAUACCCUAGUAGUC
This 443-nucleotide ribosomal RNA is filed under the name uncultured bacterium. Its description in RNAcentral is "partial 16S ribosomal RNA". It matches the Rfam family "Bacterial small subunit ribosomal RNA", at positions 338 to 795 of the family's 1533-position model. The record is from RNAcentral.